ACUUGGGGAAGGAUCAUUAU
RNAcentral lists this ribosomal RNA (20 nucleotides) under Candida albicans. RNAcentral's name for it is "partial 18S ribosomal RNA". The record is from RNAcentral. Lineage: Eukaryota; Fungi; Ascomycota; Pichiomycetes; Serinales; Debaryomycetaceae.